Non-coding RNA from Pelobates cultripes (western spadefoot toad), 203 nucleotides. The record is from the annotation of a GenBank genome assembly. NCBI's taxonomy places the organism in Eukaryota, Metazoa, Chordata, Amphibia, Anura, Pelobatidae.
UAAGGGUAGAGUGUUAGUCCCAGAUGUUGUCCUGGAUUUCUCUGCAUGUCCAAGUUGGAGUCCCCAAACUUCCAAUUCUUCUCUCUGUCUCUCAACUCCAACUACCCUGUCUCUUCCCUUUGUCUUUACUUUUAAAGGGCCAGACUCUCUGUACGUCAUUAGUUGAUAACCCAAUAGGAAGCCGUAGGUGUGUCCAAUCUAUG